RNAcentral lists this non-coding RNA (240 nucleotides) under Acetivibrio ethanolgignens. RNAcentral describes it as "T-box sequence". It matches the Rfam family "T-box leader". Rfam says of the family: Uncharged tRNA acts as the effector for transcription antitermination of genes in the T-box leader family. T-boxes are found upstream of many aminoacyl-tRNA synthetase genes and some amino acid biosynthetic genes usually in Gram-positive bacteria. Lineage: Bacteria; Bacillati; Bacillota; Clostridia; Acetivibrionales; Acetivibrionaceae. The record is from RNAcentral.
GUAAAAGCGUUGAACGAAAGAGUAGUCGGCAGGCGAAGUAACAGAGAGAAGUUCCCAUUGGCUGAAAGGAACUUUUAUCGAGCGGCGGGCGAAGUGCAUUCGGGAGCAGAUUGUACGAAGGACUUCAGGUCAGUAGUGCAGUCCGGCAGCCACCGUUAUCCGGCAGGCCUAUGAUAGUAGGUGAAAAGGCAGCCUUUGGGCUGUGAAUUAGAGUGGAACCACGAUAACCUCGUCUCUAUG